Molecule: ribosomal RNA, 250 nt
Filed under: uncultured prokaryote
Description: partial 16S ribosomal RNA
Rfam family: Bacterial small subunit ribosomal RNA
Source: RNAcentral
UACGUAGGGGGCGAGCGUUAUCCGGAAUUAUUGGGCGUAAGGAGUGCGUAGGUGGUUAAUUAAGCGAGAGGUUUAAGGCUACAGCUUAACUGUAGUUCGCCUCUCGAACUGAAUAACUUGAGUGCAGGAGGGGAAAGCGGAAUUCCUAGUGUAGCGGCGAAAUGCGUAGAUAUUAGGAGGAACACCAGUGGCGAAGGCGGCUUUCUGGACUGAAACUGACACUGAGGCACGAAAGCGUGGGGAGCAAACA